RNAcentral lists this long non-coding RNA (180 nucleotides) under Canis lupus familiaris (dog). RNAcentral's name for it is "lncRNA (ENSCAFG00805019121.1, ENSCAFG00845020650.1)". The record is from RNAcentral. Lineage: Eukaryota; Metazoa; Chordata; Mammalia; Carnivora; Canidae.
UUCAUAAGGAGCCAAGUCUUCUUGGUGCACAGGCACAUGUGUGCUUUCCCCUCUGUCUCUUUCUGUCUCUUACCUUACCACCCUUCUCCUUUCCUCCCUCAGAUGCAGACCUGCAGUAAAGCAUCCUUUCACUUCUACUUCCUGGGACAUGAUCAUGGGGCCAGAACCCCUACAGCAUAA